GACUACAUUUGGCGUCGAGCAUGCACAUCCAAGCACAGAGCACCUGGAGACCUGACUGGCAGAAGACUAAUAGAAACACCUGCUGUGCAGACUCAAAAACUUCCCAGAACUGGGGCAGACACAAUCUCAGUAGUCCCUGCCCGAACAGCCUGGAGCUCGCCGUGUAGAUCAGCAUGCCCUGCGACUCACAGGAAUCCUCCUAUGUUUGCCACCUACCACGUCAGGUGAACUUUUCCCUCCCCUACAACCCAAAUGAGGGUUUCUUUGUGUGUACCCUGUCUGUCCUGGAACUCACUCUGCGGACCAGGCUGGCCUCAAACUCAACAAGAUACCUGCCUGCCUCUGCCUCCCGAGUGCUGGGAUUAGAGAUGCAUGCCACAAUACCUGGCUUGAACUGUGACUUUUAAUUUUAAUUUUGCUUAAGAAUAACUCAUAGUCACCAGCAUUCCAGAAUUCUUAGAGGAUAAGUCUUUGCAAGUACUUCCUGACUGUUGAAUAUAUUACUGAGAACUCAGAACUGAAAAAACAAAAAUGAAAUGCACUUGAGUUCUUAAAUAGGUCUCAGUUAACUCAGGCAAAACAAGAGAGGUUUACUACAAAGGACUAUGUGAAAGGGUUUGCAUUCCCUUGGAAGCUUCCCACUUAUAAAAACAGCUACAACAUAACUGAAAUAAAGUCAAUCCCACCUCUGCCCCCAUACCUGGACCCAGACUUCUGGAGGGCUUACCCACCUCAGGCCCCAGCCUGACCAGGGUAAGCUGGAGCAGGCACUCACCAUCUUGGCCUUCCUGGGGUGUUCACUUCUCCUUUCAUGCUUCUUAUAGGACUCAUAUGAAACAGGAUCGAUGCCCCACAAGCAUUCUGUCCACUUGCCGUAAAUGAUGAAGAGCUUCUUCCUGCUGCAGUGGAAGAGGGCGAAACAGUUAACAGUCAUCUACAAAGCAGGAACUUAAUGCCUACCUGUUGCUCUCCUUCUGCCAAGUCCUGGACAUUCUGGGAUACAAAGAAGAAACUUUGUAUUUCAGAACCUGGUUCAUGCUGUUAGAGACAAAAUCUCCCUAUCCCUGAUGCCAAAGAGGAAAUGAAGGCACAAAAGCCUAAACAGUCCCCAGGGCCUUAGAAAA
This is a non-coding RNA of Myodes glareolus (Bank vole), 1124 nucleotides long. The record is from RefSeq and is a predicted model, not a curated record. Lineage: Eukaryota; Metazoa; Chordata; Mammalia; Rodentia; Cricetidae.